This 442-nucleotide ribosomal RNA is filed under the name uncultured bacterium. Its description in RNAcentral is "partial 16S ribosomal RNA". It matches the Rfam family "Bacterial small subunit ribosomal RNA", at positions 338 to 795 of the family's 1533-position model. The record is from RNAcentral.
CCUACGGGGGGCAGCAGUAGGGAAUCUUUCACAAUGGGCGAAAGCCUGAUGGAGCAACGCCGCGUGCAGGAUGAAGGCCUUCGGGUUGUAAACUGCUUUUAUAAGCGAGAAAUAUGAUGGUAACUUAUGAAUAAGGAUCGGCUAACUACGUGCCAGCAGCCGCGGUCAUACGUAGGAUCCGAGCAUUAUCCGGAGUGACUGGGUGUAAAGAGUUGCGUAGGUGGCAUAAUAAGUAGCUAGUGAAAACUGGUGGCUCAACCAUUCAGACUAUUAGCUAAACUGUUAAGCUCGAGACCGUUAGGGGUAACUGGAAUUUCUAGUGUAGGAGUGAAAUCCGUAGAUAUUAGAAGGAACACCAAUAGCGUAGGCAGGUUGCUGGGACGGUUCUGACACUAAGGCACGAAAGCGUAGGGAGCAAACGGGAUUAGAUACCCGUGUAGUC